This 442-nucleotide unclassified non-coding RNA is filed under the name Hevea brasiliensis (rubber tree). The record is from RNAcentral. Lineage: Eukaryota; Viridiplantae; Streptophyta; Magnoliopsida; Malpighiales; Euphorbiaceae.
GGCCCAGAAAUGCCAGCGACAGCGAGCUCUUAUCCGCAAACAAAAUCACAGUCUCACUCCUUCCUAGCUGCUUGUCAACGACCCAAGGCCAUAACCCUCUAAACAUUUCCUCAUCUCAUUACUUCAUUCUUAGCCUCUAGCUUAGAUGGCCGCUCCCUUCUCUUCAACGACACCGCUCAGGUCCAUCUUCCAAUCCAAGCCUAGCCCUCCCAAAACCCUCCUUUCUCUUCCAGUUUCAUCUUAUAGAGCACAGCGCAAUGAUAACAACAGUUCCCACAUUGCCAGUGUGAGUUUGUGGAGCUCUGCUUCUAACUACGCCGCUGCCACCAAACUUUACGCCAACCCCAUUACUGUAAAGCAGUUGUUGCAGAAGAGAAAAGGAGUAAUAAGGUGCGCGACCAUUGAAGAAAUCGAAGCAGAGAAGUCCUCCAUUGAGAAGGAU